AAUAAGAUGCCUGAUUAAAGGGCUAUCUUGAUAGGAUAGAUCAUGUAGGUUCCCUACUCUUGUUA
RNAcentral lists this transfer RNA (65 nucleotides) under Deleatidium vernale. Its description in RNAcentral is "tRNA-Ile". The record is from RNAcentral. Lineage: Eukaryota; Metazoa; Arthropoda; Insecta; Ephemeroptera; Leptophlebiidae.